This is a non-coding RNA of Podarcis lilfordi (Lilford's wall lizard), 77 nucleotides long. Lineage: Eukaryota; Metazoa; Chordata; Lepidosauria; Squamata; Lacertidae. The record is from the annotation of a GenBank genome assembly.
GCUGGGAUGGCUCAGUCGGUGGAUCACGAGGCUCUUAAUCUCAGGGUUGUGGGUUCAAGUCCCAAAAUAUUCCUGCA